GUGAGGAAUUUUCCGCAAUGGGCGAAAGCCUGACGGAGCAAUGCCGCGUGAAGGAUGAAGGCCUAUGGGUUGUAAACUUCUUUUCUCAGAAAAGAAUUAUGACGGUAUCUGAGGAAUAAGCAUCGGCUAACUCUGUGCCAGCAGCCGCGGUAAGACAGAGGAUGCAAGCGUUAUCCGGAAUGAUUGGGCGUAAAGCGUCUGUAGGUUGUUUAAAAAGUAUUCUGUCAAAGAUUAGGGCUUAACCCUAGAUAGGCAGAAUAAACUUUUAAGCUAGAGUUUGGUAGAGGCAGAGGGAAUUCCCGGUGGAGCGGUAAAAUGCGUAGAUAUCGGGAGGAACACCAAAGGCGAAGGCACUCUGCUGGGCCAAUACUAACACUGAGAGACGAAAGCGAGGGGAGCAAAUGGGAUUAGAUACCCCAGUAGUCC
This 426-nucleotide ribosomal RNA is filed under the name uncultured bacterium. RNAcentral's name for it is "partial 16S ribosomal RNA". It matches the Rfam family "Bacterial small subunit ribosomal RNA", at positions 354 to 796 of the family's 1533-position model. The record is from RNAcentral.